CCUACGGGAGGCUGCAGUGGGGAAUAUUGGACAAUGGGCGAAAGCCUGAUCCAGCCAUGCCGCGUGUGUGAAGAAGGCCUUCGGGUUGUAAAGCACUUUCAGUGGGGAAGAAAGCCUUGGGGCUAAUACCCUCGAGGAAGGACAUCACCCACAGAAGAAGCACCGGCUAACUCCGUGCCAGCAGCCGCGGUAAUACGGAGGGUGCGAGCGUUAAUCGGAAUUACUGGGCGUAAAGCGCGCGUAGGCGGUCUGAUAAGCCGGUUGUGAAAGCCCCGGGCUCAACCUGGGAACGGCAUCCGGAACUGUCAGGCUUGAGUGCAGGAGAGGAAGGUAGAAUUCCCGGUGUAGCGGUGAAAUGCGUAGAGAUCGGGAGGAAUACCAGUGGCGAAGGCGGUCUUCUGGACUGACACUGACGCUGAGGUGCGAAAGCGUGGGUAGCAAACAGGAUUAGAUACCCUAGUAGUC
RNAcentral lists this ribosomal RNA (465 nucleotides) under Vreelandella stevensii. Its description in RNAcentral is "partial 16S ribosomal RNA". It matches the Rfam family "Bacterial small subunit ribosomal RNA", at positions 338 to 795 of the family's 1533-position model. Lineage: Bacteria; Pseudomonadati; Pseudomonadota; Gammaproteobacteria; Oceanospirillales; Halomonadaceae. The record is from RNAcentral.